CUGUUCGCCAAUUAAAGCGGUACGCGAGCUGGGUUCAGAACGUCGUGAGACAGUUCGGUCCCUAUCUGUCGUGGGCGUAGGAUAUUUGAGAGGCGCUGUCCCUAGUACGAGAGGACCGGGAUGGACGUACCUCUGGUGCAUCAGUUGUCACGCCAGUGGCACAGCUGAGUAGCUAUGUACGGAUUGGAUAAACGCUGAAAGCAUCUAAGCGUGAAGCCAUCCUCAAGAUAAGAUAUCCCCUCUAUUGAGUAAGACCCCUUGUAGACGACGAGGUUGAUAGGUCUGGAGUGUAAGCAUGGUGACAUGUUCAGCUGACAGAUACUAAUCGGUCGAACACUUUUCCUAA
This 346-nucleotide ribosomal RNA is filed under the name Oscillospiraceae bacterium. RNAcentral's name for it is "partial 23S ribosomal RNA". It matches the Rfam family "Bacterial large subunit ribosomal RNA", at positions 2577 to 2925 of the family's 2925-position model. Lineage: Bacteria; Bacillati; Bacillota; Clostridia; Eubacteriales; Oscillospiraceae. The record is from RNAcentral.